AUUCUAUGUUAGUGAAAUAAACCUUUCAUUUACUUCUAUAGAUUAGGAUGGCCUCUAUGCAAGGAUGACACGCAAAUACAUGAAGCAUUCCGUAUUUUU
RNAcentral lists this small nuclear RNA (99 nucleotides) under Loxodonta africana (African savanna elephant). Lineage: Eukaryota; Metazoa; Chordata; Mammalia; Proboscidea; Elephantidae. The record is from RNAcentral.